This is a non-coding RNA of Petromyzon marinus (sea lamprey), 2874 nucleotides long. The record is from RefSeq and is a predicted model, not a curated record. NCBI's taxonomy places the organism in Eukaryota, Metazoa, Chordata, Hyperoartia, Petromyzontiformes, Petromyzontidae.
GAUGAUGCCUAUGAUUCUGAUGAUGAUGCGUAUGAUGAUGUUGAUGAUGCUGAUGAUGGCUAUGCUGAUGAUGCUAAUGAUGCCUAUGAUUCUGAUGAUGAUGCGUAUGAUGAUGAGGGUUCUGAUGAGAUCAAUACACAAAGUAAUUCUCACGAGGACAGGGAAACAGAGAGACACGGUGGACACAGAGACACGGGCACACAUCUGAUUUUAAAAUGUUGCUGGUCUGAAGAUGAUGGUGGUUUUAAGAUGAUUGUUGUUUAAGAUGUAACUGGUUUAAGAUGAGCUGGUUUAAGAUGAUUGUGGUUUAAGAUGUAGCUGGUUUAAGAUGAGCUGGUUUAAGAUGAUUGUGGUUUAAGAUGUAGCUGGUUUAAGAUGUAGCUGGUUUAAGAUGAUUGUGGUUUAAGAUGUAGCUGGUUGAAGAUGAUUGUGGUUUAAGAUGUAGCUGGUUUAAGAUGUAGCUGGUUGAAGAUGAUUGUGGUUUAAGAUGCAGCUGGUUUAAGAUGUAGCUGGUUUAAGAUGUAGCUGGUUUAAGAUGAUUGUGGUUUAAGAUGUGGCUGGUUUAAGAUGAGCUGGUUUAAGAUGAUUGUGGUUUAAGAUGUAGCUGGUUUAAGAUGAUUGUGGUUUAAGAUGAUUGUGGUUUAAGAUGUAGCUGGUUUAAGAUGUAGCUGGUUCAAGAUGUAGCUGGUUUAAGAUGUAGCUGGUUUAAGAUGAUUGUGGUUUAAGAUGAUUGUGGUUUAAGAUGUAGCUGGUUUAAGAUGUAGCUGGUUUAAGAUGUAGCUGGUUUAAGAUGAGCUGGUUUAAGAUGAUUGUGGUUUAAGAUGUAGCUGGUUUAAGAUGAGCUGGUUUAGGAUGAUUGUGGUUUAAGAUGUAGCUGGUUGAAGAUGAUUGUGGUUUAAGAUGUAGCUGGUUUAAGAUGUAGCUGGUUGAAGAUGAUUGUGGUUUAAGAUGUAGCUGGUUUAAGAUGUAGCUGGUUUAAGAUGUAGCUGGUUUAAGAUGAUUGUGGUUUAAGAUGUGGCUGGUUUAAGAUGAGCUGGUUUAAGAUGAUUGUGGUUUAAGAUGUAGCUGGUUUAAGAUGAUUGUGGUUUAAGAUGUAGCUGGUUUAAGAUGUAGCUGGUUUAAGAUGUAGCUGGUUCAAGAUGUAGCUGGUUUAAGAUGUAGCUGGUUUAAGAUGAUUGUGGUUUAAGAUGAUUGUGGUUUAAGAUGUAGCUGGUUUAAGAUGUAGCUGGUUUAAGAUGUAGCUGGUUUAAGAUGAGCUGGUUUAAGAUGAUUGUGGUUUAAGAUGUAGCUGGUUUAAGAUGAGCUGGUUUAAGAUGAUUGUGGUUUAAGAUGUAGCUGGUUUAAGAUGAUUGUGGUUUAAGAUGUAGCUGGUUUAAGAUGAGUCUGGUUUAAGAUGUAGCUGGUUUAAGAUGAUUGUGGUUUAAGAUGUAGCUGGUUUAAGAUGAUUGUGGUUUAUGAUGUAGCUGGUUUAAGAUGAUUGUGGUUUAAGAUGUAGCUGGUUUAAGAUGUAGCUGGUUUAAGAUGUAGCUGGUUUAAGAUGAGUCUGGUUUAAGAUGAGUCUGGUUUAAGAUGUAGCUGGUUUAAGAUGAUUGUGGUUUAAGAUGUAGCUGGUUUAACAUGUAGCUGGUUUAACAUGUAGCUGGUUUAAGAUGAUUGUGGUUUAAGAUGUAGCUGGUUCAAGAUGAGUCUGGUUUAAGAUGUAGCUGGUUUAAGAUGAUUGUGGUUUAAGAUGUAGCUGGUUUAAGAUGUAGCUGGUUUAAGAUGUAGCUGGUUUAAGAUGAUUGUGGUUUAAGAUGUAACUGGUUUAAGAUGAUUGUGGUUUAAGAUGUAGCUGGUUUAAGAUGUAGCUGGUUUCAGAUGUAGCUGGUUUAAGAUGCAGCUGGUUUAAGAUGUAGCUGGUUUAAGAUGAUUGUGGUUGAAGAUGAUUGUGGUUUAAGAUGUAGCUGGUUUAAGAUGAUUGUGGUUUAUGAUGUAGCUGGUUUAAGAUGAUUGUGGUUUAAGAUGUAGCUGGUUUAAGAUGAUUGUGGUUGAAGAUGAUUGUGGUUUAAGAUGUAGCUGGUUUAAGAUGUAGCUGGUUUAAGAUGUAGCUGGUUUAAGAUGCAGCUGGUUUAAGAUGUAGCUGGAUUAAGAUGAUUGUGGUUUAAGAUGAUUGUGGUUUAAGAUGUAGCUGGUUUAAGAUGUAGCUGGUUUAAGAUGAUUGUGGUUUAAGAUGUAGCUGGUUUAAGAUGAUUGUGGUUUAAGAUGUAUCUGGUUUAAGAUGUAGCAGGUUUAAGAUGUAGCUGGUUUAAGAUGUAGCUGGUUUAAGAUGAUUGUGGUUUAAGAUGUAGCUGGUUUAAGAUGUAGCUGGUUUAAGAUGAUUGUGGUUUAAGAUGUAGCUGGUUUAAGAUGAUUGUGGUUUAAGAUGUAGCUGGUUUAAAAUGUAGCUGGUUUAAGAUGAUUGUGGUUUAAGAUGUAGGUGGUUUAAGAUGUAGCUGGUUUAAGAUGUAGCUGGUUUAAGAUGAGUCUGGUUUAAGAUGUAGCUGGUUUAAGAUGUAGUUGGUUUUAAAAUGAUUCUGGUUUAAGAUGUAGCUGGUUUAAGAUGAUUUUGGUUCAAGAUGUAGCUUGUUUAAGAUGAUUUUCGCUUAAGAUAUAGCUGGUUUAAGAUGCAGCUGGUUUAAGAUGUAGCUUGUUUAAGAUGAUUGUGGUUUAAGAUGUAGCUGGUUUAAGAUGUAGCUGGUUUACGAUGAUUGUGGUUUAAAAUCUAGCUGGGUUUAAGAUGAUUGCGGUUUAGAAUCUAACUGGUUUUAAAAUAAUUCUGGUUCAAGAUGUAGCUGGUCGUAAUAUGAGCCCAGUUUAAGAUGAGCCUGAUUUGAAAUACAUCUGGGUUUAAGAUGA